This 520-nucleotide unclassified non-coding RNA is filed under the name uncultured Glomus. Its description in RNAcentral is "SSU rRNA". It matches the Rfam family "Eukaryotic small subunit ribosomal RNA", at positions 569 to 1091 of the family's 1831-position model. Lineage: Eukaryota; Fungi; Glomeromycota; Glomeromycetes; Glomerales; Glomeraceae. The record is from RNAcentral.
AGCAGCCGCGGUAAUUCCAGCUCCAAUAGCGUAUAUUAAAGUUGUUGCAGUUAAAAAGCUCGUAGUUGAAUUUCGGGAUCAAUAUGUUGGUCGUGCCUUGGUACGUACUGGCGUCAUUGGUUUCUACCUUCUGAAGAACCUCGAUGUCAUUAAUUUGGUGUCUUGGGGAAUCAGGACUGUUACUUUGAAAAAAUUAGAGUGUUUAAAGCAAGCUCACGCUUGAAUACAUUAGCAUGGAAUAAUGAAAUAGGACGUUUGAUUCUAUUUUGUUGGUUUCUAGGAUCGACGUAAUGAUUAAUAGGGAUAGUUGGGGCGAUUAGUAUUCAAUUGUCAGAGGUGAAAUUCUUGGAUUUAUUGAAGACUAACUACUGCGAAAGCAUUUGCCAAGGAUGUUUUCAUUAAUCAAGAACGAAAGUUAGGGGAUCGAAGACGAUCAGAUACCGUCGUAGUCUUAACCAUAAACUAUGCCGACUAGGGAUCGGAUGAUGUUAAUUUUUUAAUGACUCAUUCGGCGCCUUAC